Molecule: long non-coding RNA, 289 nt
Filed under: Sinocyclocheilus anshuiensis
Lineage: Eukaryota; Metazoa; Chordata; Actinopteri; Cypriniformes; Cyprinidae
Description: lncRNA (ENSSANG00000034743.1)
Source: RNAcentral
AGCACAUGUGUCAAAGGAAUUGGAGGUGGGUGCUUUUAUAAGUAAGAGUGAUUCUGUCCCUCAGCAAAGCAUGGAGCACUUUGCCGGUGACCUUCUCCGUGAGUGGGGCUGAAAUUGGAUGAUUGCGUGCUGUGUUACUGGACAAGUGACAGGUGGCUGUAUCUCCGAGCUUGAAGGCAGGCAAUCUUACCUACCCAGUCCAUGUGCUCUACUCCCAGUUCCCAGUUUCUUUACAGAUCUGUUCUUUGAGUGUUUGUGAGGGACACUUCUUUUCUCCACAAGGCCACCA